UCAAAAUAAUCAAUUAAACAAAUAAAAUACUAACUAUAAUCAUUUAAUAAAAUCAAGAUAAAGAAAAUAAAAUGAAUUAAAUGGGUUAAAGUGAGUUAAGAGGAGGUGUUAAAAAAAUGGGCUUGAAAGCCCAAAACUAUACAAGUAAUUAAAACAAGAAAAAAAUACAUAAAAUAAAAUAAGGAGAAGGGGCGGCUGGAAUUUUGAACAGGAAAGAGAGGAUUUUAAAAUUUUCAAGAUAUCCCAAGCCACUAAUCAUGUCGUGAC
RNAcentral lists this long non-coding RNA (267 nucleotides) under Lathyrus oleraceus (garden pea). RNAcentral describes it as "Pisum sativum (pea) long non-coding RNA (PSAT_LNC015823)". Lineage: Eukaryota; Viridiplantae; Streptophyta; Magnoliopsida; Fabales; Fabaceae. The record is from RNAcentral.